This 416-nucleotide ribosomal RNA is filed under the name uncultured bacterium. Its description in RNAcentral is "bacterial SSU rRNA". It matches the Rfam family "Bacterial small subunit ribosomal RNA", at positions 355 to 786 of the family's 1533-position model. The record is from RNAcentral.
UGGGGAAUAUUGCACAAUGGGGGAAACCCUGAUGCAGCAACGCCGCGUGAAGGAAGACGGUUUUCGGAUUGUAAACUUCUUUUCUUAGUGAAGAAACAAAUGACGGUAGCUAAGGAAUAAGCAUCGGCUAACUACGUGCCAGCAGCCGCGGUAAUACGUAGGAUGCGAGCGUUAUCCGGAUUUACUGGGUGUAAAGGGAGCGCAGGCGGGACUGCAAGUUGGAUGUGAAAUACCGCAGCUUAACUGCGGAGCUGCAUCCAAACUGUAGUUCUUGAGUGGAGUAGAGGCAAGCGGAAUUCCGAGUGUAGCGGUGAAAUGCGUAGAUAUUCGGAGGAACACCAGUGGCGAAGGCGGCUUGCUGGGCUCUAACUGACGCUGAGGCUCGAAAGUGUGGGGAGCAAACAGGAUUAGAUACC